UACGAAGGGGGCUAGCGUUGUUCGGAAUACUGGGCGUAAAGCGUGCGCAGGCGGUUGUGCAAGACAGGUGUGAAAUCCCCGGGCUUAACCUGGGAACUGCACUUGUGACUGCACGGCUAGAGUACGGUAGAGGGGGAUGGAAUUCCGCGUGUAGCAGUGAAAUGCGUAGAUAUGCGGAGGAACACCGAUGGCGAAGGCAAUCCCCUGGACCUGUACUGACGCUCAUGCACGAAAGCGUGGGGAGCAAACAGG
Molecule: ribosomal RNA, 252 nt
Filed under: uncultured bacterium
Lineage: Bacteria
Description: partial 16S ribosomal RNA
Rfam family: Bacterial small subunit ribosomal RNA
Source: RNAcentral